GACGAACGCUGGCGGCGUGCUUAACACAUGCAAGUCGAACGGAAAGGCCCUGCGUUUGUUGGGUUCUCGAUUGGCGAACGGGGGAGUGACACGUGAGUAACCUGCCCUUGUCUUUGUGAUAACUUCAGGAAACUGGGGCGAAUAUCCGAUAGGAGCUCCUGCUGCGUGGUGGGCGUUGGAAAGUUUCGGCUGUUGUGUAUGGACUCGCUGCUUAUCAGCUUGUUGGUGGGGUAGUGGCUUACCAAGGCUUUGACGGGUAGCCCGCCUGAGAGGGUGACCGGCCACCUUGGGACUGAGAUAAGGCACAGACUCCUACGGGAGGCAGAAGUGGGGAAUCUUGCACAAUGGGCGGAAGCCUGAUGAAGCAACGCCGCGUGCGGGAUGACGGUCUUAGGGUUGUAAAACGCUUUCGCCUGUGACGAAGCGUGAGUGACGGUAACGGGUACAGAAGCACCGGCUAACUACGUG
Molecule: ribosomal RNA, 468 nt
Filed under: uncultured bacterium
Lineage: Bacteria
Description: partial 16S ribosomal RNA
Rfam family: Bacterial small subunit ribosomal RNA
Source: RNAcentral